Camellia sinensis is the source of this 212-nucleotide non-coding RNA. NCBI's taxonomy places the organism in Eukaryota, Viridiplantae, Streptophyta, Magnoliopsida, Ericales, Theaceae. The record is from RefSeq and is a predicted model, not a curated record.
GAAAAAAAAAAGAAGAGAAAAAGAAGGAAUUUUUUAAGGUGAUGAAGCAGUUUACAAUGGUGACGGUUAUUUCAAAGGCAAACGAGAUGAACUGUUGGAGCUGUGGUUCAGUUGAAGACUUAGACUAGUUGUUUUUUUUCCUUUUGACUUUUGGUUUGGCAAUGUUUUGGCAAUUCUGUAAUGGAAUAUAAACGAAUUAUCUGUGAUAUUAA